Long non-coding RNA from Apis dorsata (giant honeybee), 833 nucleotides. RefSeq lists it as uncharacterized. The transcript has 2 exons. The record is from RefSeq and is a predicted model, not a curated record. NCBI's taxonomy places the organism in Eukaryota, Metazoa, Arthropoda, Insecta, Hymenoptera, Apidae.
UUUCCAAAGUUCCAAGGAAAAAGGCUUCGUUUCUGAGGUGAAACUUUUCAGCAACGAAAAUACGUCAAGGAAUAAUAAACUACGUACUUUCAUUACUAACGAAUCGCUCCCAGUUUUCAUCGGUCAGAUUGCCCCAGGAGCCGUCCUCGGGAAAGUUCUUUAUACACUUUUGCGUGAGCACCCCCAUAUAAAUCUGGAGGCCCAUCAGCGCAAAGACGGAAAGAGAGAACAUCGUCAAGAUUAUCACAUCGCGCAGGUUCUUCACGGAUUCUAUCACAGCGCCGACAAUGGUUUUCAGACCUGGCGAACGAAACAAAAAAGGGGACCAGAUGGAUUUCGUGUGGAAAAAGAGAAAAAGAUAGAUAGAUGAUAAUGGAUCGACCGAAGAAACGGAUGGAAGGAUCAUCAAAUUAAUAUAUUGUCUCUUUUCUGUAAAAAAAAAAAAAGUGGAGGAGAUCAUCAUCGAUGAAAUGAAAAUGAGGAACAAGAAGGAGAUAAUAGAUGCUGCUAGCAGAAGGGGACAAUUGCUUCUUGGAAAAUUGAAAAAAAAAAAAAAAGAAAAAAAAAUCAUGAUGUUCAAUUUAGGUGGAAUGAUCUUUGAUCCGAUGAUCGUGUCGAAAGAUGCAAGGUUGGCGAGCAAAAAAAAUGACGCACGAAAAAAAUGUACAGAUGAUUAAUAUAGGCGUUUCGUCAGACAGAUAGACAUAAGUGAGAGAUUAAAGAGAUAUACAGAGAGGUAAUUAUUAUAAUAGAAUAUAGGCGUUGUGUAGGUGAUGAUAUGCGAUAGAAUGUAUGUGUGUAACAGCGAGCCGCGGCAAAAGUGUAUAUCUAUU